Molecule: non-coding RNA, 379 nt
Organism: Pelobates cultripes (western spadefoot toad)
Lineage: Eukaryota; Metazoa; Chordata; Amphibia; Anura; Pelobatidae
Source: the annotation of a GenBank genome assembly
CCAAUGGCAGUGCAGGAUGGGAUAGAACACACAGAGCCAGCCAAUGGCAGUGCAGGAUGGGAUAGAACACACAGAGCCGGCCAAUGGCAGUGCAGGAUGGGGAUAGAACACACAGAGCCGGCCAAUGGCAGUGCAGGAUGGGAUAGAACACACAGUGCCGGCCAAUGGCAGUGCAGGAUGGGAUAGAACACACAGAGCCGGCCAAUGGCAGUGCAGGAUGGGAUAGAACACACAGAGCGCUGGCAGUGCAGGAUGGGAUAGAACACACAGAGCCAGCCAAUGGCAGUGCAGGAUGGGAUAGAACACACAGAGCCAGCCAAUGGCAGUGCAGGAUGGGAUAGAACACACAGAGCCGGCCAAUGACAGUGCAGGAUGGGGA